UGGGGAAUAUUGCACAAUGGGCGCAAGCCUGAUGCAGCCAUGCCGCGUGUAUGAAGAAGGCCUUCGGGUUGUAAAGUACUUUCAGCGGGGAGGAAGGUGUUGAGGUUAAUAACCUCAGCAAUUGACGUUACCCGCAGAAGAAGCACCGGCUAACUCCGUGCCAGCAGCCGCGGUAAUACGGAGGGUGCAAGCGUUAAUCGGAAUUACUGGACGUAAAGCGCACGCAGGCGGUCUGUCAAGUCGGAUGUGAAAUCCCCGGGCUCAACCUGGGAACUGCAUUCGAAACUGGCAGGCUAGAGUCUUGUAGAGGGGGGUAGAAUUCCAGGUGUAGCGGUGAAAUGCGUAGAGAUCUGGAGGAAUACCGGUGGCGAAGGCGGCCCCCUGGACAAAGACUGACGCUCAGGUGCGAAAGCGUGGGGAGCAAACA
Molecule: ribosomal RNA, 427 nt
Filed under: uncultured bacterium
Lineage: Bacteria
Description: partial 16S ribosomal RNA
Rfam family: Bacterial small subunit ribosomal RNA
Source: RNAcentral